RNAcentral lists this long non-coding RNA (1650 nucleotides) under Lathyrus oleraceus (garden pea). RNAcentral's name for it is "Pisum sativum (pea) long non-coding RNA (PSAT_LNC009115)". The record is from RNAcentral. Lineage: Eukaryota; Viridiplantae; Streptophyta; Magnoliopsida; Fabales; Fabaceae.
AUUGCAAACUAAGCCAUAUUUUGAGACCAAUUGUGAAUUAUUUUUUUGAGUUAGAAAAUCAAAACAAGAAAAUACAAGUUCCAUUUCAAUUUUAAAGUUAAAUUCACAUUUCAAUUACUUCACAUUUCAAUUACAACUUUCAAGAAUAAAAUGUGGAGUUGAUCUCAACCUCUCCAUAUCAACAAACUUCAUGAAUUGAAAGACCUAACAAAACAGAGAGAUUUUAGUCAAAACAAUGCUCAAAAUAAUACAAAAAAUCAACCAAUUUACAAAAGAAUGAAAGUAGAGUAAUUGUUAUGCAGUAAAAGAACCAACUACUAAAAAAAAAGGGAAAGAGGACAACCAUCUUUCAUUCGGCAGUGGAUUGAACAUCUCCUUUUGAGCUUUAUCCUGCCCCAUUUACAAUUGCCAGCAGACUUGCACAAAACUAAAAAAACUAAAAAAAGUAUCUAAGAAAGGUUCCUAUCUCCAUUAUAAUGAAUAGAUUUCAGCAGCAUCACAAUAAACAUAUAGCAGUUACUAUAAGGAAUAAAAAAAGGGGAGUUCAUCCAUCGUAUAAAAUAGGGAGGACAGCAAGAAAUAGAAAAAAGGCAUCAAAGUUCCAAAGUUCCAACUGCACAAAAAUUUCUAACAGAGAAUCAAAACUUCUAAAACAACACUAAAAUCCCCAACGAAAAAUUUCUUUCCGGCAAAAAACCAAUAAUACGAUGGAGGGACAAUACUUACAGGAAAGGGAGGAAAUAUCAGAGGAGUGAUUGUGAGUCCGAUAACAACCAGGAGUAUCCGUGCACGCUCGAUAGGUAAAUCCACUUUACUUUCUUGUGAUAACCUCACUGCUUUCUCCUGUUUUCACCAAAAAAUUUGAAUUAUCAUUUAGUAAUAACAACAACAUGUAAGCAACGGUAAUAUAUAUAAAACCACUUCCAACAACAAUUUGUUUUACCUAACCAUUUGCGAUAACCAUUUGCAAUUUUGUUACUGUUAAGUUCUCUGAGCGUUUGUUAGGGGUGAGGCCAUUUUCGAUCUGGCUAAAAGGAGAGACCGUCUCCGUAGAACUCGUCGAAGCCGUGAAAGAGAAACCUUCGCCACGAACCGUGCGCCAUUUUUGCUUCCACGUCGAAACUGUGAGGAUGUGGAGAGGAUAGCGAGUAGGGGGUAGUUUAAGAUCUCUUGAGAAGCUAUGGCCGGUGAGUAUGGGCGUUGGGCAGAAGAGAUGAUUUGAGUAUGAAUCAGUGUUUCUUGGUUUCGUUGAAUUUGGAAGGGAACGAACGGUUGCUAGGGUUCAUGUCUAAAGUCAGGGAAUUUCGGUCUUUUUGUGUGUUCCAGCCGGGUCGGUUGAGGUCCGACCCAGAAUUCCUAGCCCACGUCCUUGGGGAUAUUUUGGGCCCCCUUUCUUUUUCGUACUGGGCCGCGGUUGUUGGCCCAACCUUUUUUUUAUAUCUUCUUCGUUCAAAACCUUGUCUUGUACCACUAGGAGGAGAUUUAUCUCAACUAACCGCGUUUGGUUCAGUGGGUGAGACUUUCGUUGUCUCCCAGGAGAUCUUCAGUUUGAUUCUUGGGCUGGACGUUUCACUCUCAUUUUAUUUAAGUCCUGUUUGUUUAUAGCAUCCCCUUUGCCCAUUCAUAUAUUUGUUUUGUUUAAAGUAAAAG